CUUCUCUCCCUGAACAGUACAGGUCGCUCCCUAUCAUGGUCCACUUGGAGAAAAAGGAAACUGAACUCAGGAAAGUCGUGACAACUUUGGCCAUCUGGGACCUGGACCUGCCACUCGUGAUGCUGUUAAUGUGGCCUCCCCUGUGUCGUGUGGCCACGUUUCCUCAAUAAGUUAUGGGACAUACGACAGGAUCAUAGGAAUAUUUUCACUCAUGAAGAAUUGUGAAAGAGCAGCCCUGUUA
This 241-nucleotide long non-coding RNA is filed under the name Ictidomys tridecemlineatus (thirteen-lined ground squirrel). Its description in RNAcentral is "lncRNA (ENSSTOG00000032432.1)". Lineage: Eukaryota; Metazoa; Chordata; Mammalia; Rodentia; Sciuridae. The record is from RNAcentral.